Megalobrama amblycephala (Wuchang bream) is the source of this 272-nucleotide long non-coding RNA. RefSeq lists it as uncharacterized. The record is from RefSeq and is a predicted model, not a curated record. NCBI's taxonomy places the organism in Eukaryota, Metazoa, Chordata, Actinopteri, Cypriniformes, Xenocyprididae. The transcript is spliced from 2 exons.
AGCGCUUUUAUCUCGUCUCUGCAGGUGUUGGGCUUUGAUGCUGUAAAUAAACUGGAGAGUUUCCUGUCUCCUGUAACAGCGAGUGUGAUUGGAGGGUGUUGGACCUCUUUCUCUCUCAUUAAGGGGUGUGAGAGGAUGCCUGUACUUCUGUAUCAUCAGUGCGGAGAAGCUUGAACUGGAUGUUGAAUUAAUCAAGAAGAGAGAGAUGGAGAGAUGCCUGACACUCGUUUUACUGACUACAGUUGUUAAACUCAUCACAGCUGGUAAGUACA